Molecule: long non-coding RNA, 990 nt
Organism: Tripterygium wilfordii
Lineage: Eukaryota; Viridiplantae; Streptophyta; Magnoliopsida; Celastrales; Celastraceae
Exons: 2
Source: RefSeq, a predicted model, not a curated record
UGUGAGUUAAAAACAAAUAGGCAAACUUAGCAUUUCGCUUCCUCCAUCAACAUCACACAUUCCAAAUGCCUGCAUCAAUUCUUUUUCCAGCAAAGUUUCUUCUUCUGUCCUUCGUUCAAUAGAAAAGGCUGUGCACCUAUAAAUGUUCCUCGGUUCCUCAAUUGUAGAGUCUGGAUUUCAAUCGUGCGGUUAUUGUUGGCUUCUUAUUUCGUUAGUCUGAUUUCUUUUGGUGGGAGAAGAUCGUGCGGCUGAAAUUCUUGCAUUGUUUUAUGGCGUUCGUCGUUUUCUGGGAGCAAGUUUUUCAGGUGUCGUCUUCUCUGAAGAACGUAGUUUCUAGAGCCAUAGCUUAGGUUUUCCAGGUGUCUUCUCUUUUUGAUUCAGGAAGGUCUGGAUCUUUCAAUAUAUGCCACAGGUUAUCUUUGAUUCAUACAUUUGUGCUAUACAUGCAUCUCCACUGUCUGGGUCCUUACAUGUCUUCCAUUACCCAUUUUGCUUGACAAAGCUUGUAAGGUAGUGUUGUGAGAACCGGACUGACCCAGCCGAUCGGACCAGAAAACUGGUGACCCGAUUACCAAACCGGCAUAGUUCUAUCAAUAUUACCGUUUGAGCAUGUGACUCGGUGAAAACUGACAAAAUCGGACGGUCAGACCAGAAACCCGAUGACCCAGCCGGUUUUACAUGAACUAGAGAUGUUAUUUUUUAGAUUUUUUUUUGAAAGACCCAUAGACCAUACACACGCUAAGCCAUGACCGAGGGGCAUGAAGGCCACCAUAGCGGAUGGAAGCUACCCAAAUCCCAACCCCCUGAUAAGAAUGGAACCUUGGACCUCAAGGUCCUGGGCAGACAACUUGACCAACCAGGCUACCUCUCAUUCUCUAUUCUUUAGAGUUAAAUGACUACAAAACAUUGAGUUCUUUCGUAAUUUCAUUACAUGUAUUUCAUUUUUUUACAUAUAAUAUGAUAAUAUCAAUAUAUGUAUAUUAAUUAUCA